Molecule: ribosomal RNA, 506 nt
Filed under: uncultured bacterium
Lineage: Bacteria
Description: partial 16S ribosomal RNA
Rfam family: Bacterial small subunit ribosomal RNA
Source: RNAcentral
AACGAACGCUGGCGGUAGGCCUAACACAUGCAAGUCGAACGGCAGCACAGGAGAGCUUGCUCUCUGGGUGGCGAGUGGCGGACGGGUGAGGAAUACAUCGGAAUCUACUUUUUCGUGGGGGAUAACGUAGGGAAACUUACGCUAAUACCGCAUACGACCUACGGGUGAAAGCAGGGGACCUUCGGGCCUUGCGCGAUUGAAUGAGCCGAUGUCGGAUUAGCUAGUUGGCGGGGUAAAGGCCCACCAAGGCGACGAUCCGUAGCUGGUCUGAGAGGAUGGUCAGCCACACUGGAACUGAGACACGGUCCAGACUCCUACGGGAGGCAGCAGUGGGGAAUAUUGGACAAUGGGCGCAAGCCUGAUCCAGCCAUACCGCGUGGGUGAAGAAGGCCUUCGGGUUGUAAAGCCCUUUUGUUGGGAAAGAAAUCCAGCUGGCUAAUACCCGGUUGGGAUGACGGUACCCAAAGAAUAAGCACCGGCUAACUUCGUGCCAGCCGCCGCGGUAA